UCUGAGGGUAAAGGACGCUGGCAUUUAAGACUUGCCCAGUUAGAACGUGAGCCCUCCCUUCCUCUCUGCCCUGCUCGCCCACAGUGCAAGGACUUCGUUCUUGGACACAGAUACCGGUCCACUUGGUAUCUCCGGCACCAAGUGGACAGGUGUCUGGUAAUUGUAGAAGCCGCAGGAUCCAGUGCAAAGCCGCCUCCUUCAGGAAGCUUUCCCUGACUGCCCCACGUGGCAGGUUAGCAUGUUCACUCUAGUGAACACUGGUGGCGUUUAACGACCCUGCGUCUUCCUUCCAUGUGUUAAGGACCACAGGGCACACAGACCUCAGAAUCACAGAGACAUGGGUUCCAAUUCCCUCUAUACUGUUUUCUCGCUGAAGGAUUUGGGACAAGUCUCUUCAUCUUAGCUCUGCUCGGUGUCACAUGGGGUUAAUGCUGCUGGACCGUACACUACGCUGAUGAUGGAGAGCCCCCAGAGCCCUCGUAUGGGACCUGUCUCAUGUGGCCCGGAGUCUAACACAGGUCGUGUUCCCACCCAGUUGCAUCUCUGCCAGGCUGAGGAAGACGCUCGGGCCGUCCGCAGUGCGGACACAGGCUGUCACCACUCUUGACCUGUGGCCCAGCAUGGGCUUAUCUCCCAACCAGCGAGAGAGCCUACGUGGGGGCAGUGGGGAAAUCACAUGUGGAGCCAGAGUUGUCCAGAAAGGACCUGAAGAGCAUCCUCUGGUGGAGAGGUGAGUGAUUACAACAGGUGACAGAGGGGACACAGUUGCCAGCGCCUGUCUUCUCCCGUUCCUCUGGUCAGACAGAUGUUAAGCACGGAGACCAGAAAAUGGGAGUUCUAGAACGGUGAGAAUGGGCUCCCCACCUGCUCGUUCAUGACUUCCUGCGUGCAACGUGUGGAGCUCAGCCGCGGCCCCGGGCUCGCAGCCCACUGCGGUGGCCUGGCCUGGACUGGGGGGCGUCUUGGAGAAAGAAGUCCCAAGACUGGAGAGAACAGGAGGUUCCCAGGGGAUCAGGACGCUCGAUCCUCACUGCUCCAGGCGGACCCGCAUCAACGUCUUGGUCAGAGAAGAAGGUGGGAGCUGGCUGGGGUGGGCCACGGUGGACCCCUCGGGCAUGUGCGGACCCAGCUGGCAGGUGGUCAGAACUGCCCAGAACUGUGCUGCUGACCUGCCAGGCACAACUCGCCUUUCCCGAAGGCACAGGUGAUUUGAAUGUGCAUUCGAGACUGAGAGCACUUCUCACUGCCCGAGCGACAGUUAGUAACUGUGUGGUCAUGGGGAUUUGCGGGACUGAUCGCGGCGACCACUUCACGACCGGCACAGACACCGAGUCUGUCUGUCACACGUCUGCAGCCUACCUACAGUUACCUGUCAAUUACAUGUCAAACGGAGGGGAGAGGAGGACGGGCCGCGUCGCUGCGCUGGGCUGUGCGCAGUCUCUUUGCCCAGGGUGAGACCCGCACGGAUGUCCUCGAGAGCCAGGAGCUCCUCAAGGCCCUCCCUCCAGGGAGGUUAGUGCGGGCGGGGUGUGGGGAGUCCUGCAGUUUCUUCCACUCGCUUCACACACUGUGGUGGGCUCCCAAGGAAGCCUCCCUUUGAGGACCCAGCACCAGACAGAAGAGACCCUCGUGCUUCGUGAUGGAACGUCUCUGCUAUGGAACGUCACACAGCCUUGCAGAGCAAGCUGUGGGGCUGGCCCGGGGACACACAGCUGCUGGACACACAUUGUCUGACGGAAGAAGCAAGUCUCAGGGGCACCUGGCCGGCUCAGUCGGGAGAGCAUGCAGCUUUUGAUCUUGGGGUCAUGAGUUCGAGUCCCACACUGGACGUGGAGCUGACUUCCAGGGAACAAAGCCCAUCUCAGAGCAGUGUACGCCAGAGUAGGCCACUUGUACAAAUCAGCACAUCUGAGUAGGGAAACCAUCAUCUCAGCAAGCUUAGCGGUUCAGAACAGCAGGCAUGUAGUAUUAACUUGUGGGGUCGGGGAGAGAUGGGGUGGCCGGGUGGUUUUCCCUCUGGCUGGCUGCAUCCUGACGGGGCCAGGGGUAAAGGCCUCCUCAUGUGUCUGGCGCUCGGGCUGGGAACACUCGGACAGGUGCAGUCCAGACAAAGCUAUGAUCCUGUCUCUCCUUAGUCCCAUCUUUGUGCUCUUCCUGGCCCAGGGAUUUCCAGGUAGCCAGAAUCCUUUUUUUUUUUUUUUAAAGGUUUUAUUUAUUUAUUU
Molecule: RNA transcript, 2222 nt
Organism: Lutra lutra (Eurasian river otter)
Lineage: Eukaryota; Metazoa; Chordata; Mammalia; Carnivora; Mustelidae
Exons: 3
Source: RefSeq, a predicted model, not a curated record